RNAcentral lists this transfer RNA (86 nucleotides) under Xylaria sp. FL1042. RNAcentral describes it as "tRNA-Thr". It matches the Rfam family "tRNA". Rfam says of the family: Transfer RNA (tRNA) molecules are approximately 80 nucleotides in length. Their secondary structure includes four short double-helical elements and three loops (D, anti-codon, and T loops). The record is from RNAcentral. Lineage: Eukaryota; Fungi; Ascomycota; Sordariomycetes; Xylariales; Xylariaceae.
GCCCCUAUGGCGUAGUGGUAGCGCGUGUCACUUGUAUCAAUGGCAAGAUCAUGACAAGGUCUCUCGUUCGAUCCGGGAUGGGGGCA